Long non-coding RNA from Anas platyrhynchos (mallard), 320 nucleotides. RefSeq lists it as uncharacterized. Lineage: Eukaryota; Metazoa; Chordata; Aves; Anseriformes; Anatidae. The record is from RefSeq and is a predicted model, not a curated record.
CUAAUGCAGUGACACUGCAAACUCCCUUAACCACAUAAUCCCAUGCCGUUUUGGAAGACAAACACAAAAGCAGAACAACUACUGUUGCCAGGCUUGUCAGGAGCUAACAUCCUGCCAGCAAAUAAUUCCUCAAGCUUCCUCUUGAUGAAACCACAGGAGUUGAAUUUCCACAGCUGAUGAGGAGCUGGCUGUCAAGAUGAUCUCUCUGGGAGAGCAUUUAAGAAAUGGAACAGCCAGCUGGGCAUCACACUUCUCUAGAAGGUCAGUCAUGUUCAGCUUUGAAAAUCUGCAACUGCACCAACUAUUUCUGGAGGUGAGAA